RNAcentral lists this ribosomal RNA (458 nucleotides) under uncultured bacterium. Its description in RNAcentral is "partial 16S ribosomal RNA". It matches the Rfam family "Bacterial small subunit ribosomal RNA", at positions 338 to 795 of the family's 1533-position model. The record is from RNAcentral.
CCUACGGGGGGCUGCAGUGAGGAAUAUUGGUCAAUGGGCGAGAGCCUGAACCAGCCAAGCCGCGUGAGGGAGUACUGCCCUAUGGGUUGUAAACCUCUUUUGUCGGGGAGCAAAAGCCGGACGUGUCCGGCUGUGAGAGUACCCGAAGAAAAAGCCUCGGCGAACUCCGUGCCAGCAGCCGCGGUAAUACGGAGGAUGCGAGCGUUAUCCGGAUUUAUUGGGUUUAAAGGGGGCGCAGGCGGAUUUUUAAGUCAGCGGUAAAAUCGUGGGGCUCAACCCCGUCCAGCCGUUGAAACUGGGGAUCUAGAGUGUGCGAGAGGUAUGCGGAAUGCGUGGUGUAGCGGUGAAAUGCAUAGAUAUCACGCAGAACCCCGAUUGCGAAGGCAGCAUACCGGUGCACAACUGACGCUCAGGCACGAAAGCGUGGGUAUCGAACAGGAUUAGAUACCCUAGUAGUC